This 26-nucleotide non-coding RNA is filed under the name Mus musculus (house mouse). Lineage: Eukaryota; Metazoa; Chordata; Mammalia; Rodentia; Muridae. The record is from RNAcentral.
UGGGUGCCACGGAGAAGUCCCACACC